CAUAAUUUAUUAGUCUAGAUUCGGUGCUUACUCGACUUGCUUUCUAUUCAGUCUUUGAUAAAUAGAUUUUAUUGGUAGAAGGUUUUAAGAUGAGAUCCAAUAGAGUUUUUAUUCCGUUGGAAUGAGUUGAAUCUACCCAUUCCAUUCAGACUAGGGUACGUCAGGCUCAUUCAAGGGAUUUUGCAGUUAAAGUGGUUGAUUAUCUG
This 206-nucleotide long non-coding RNA is filed under the name Elaeis guineensis (African oil palm). RNAcentral's name for it is "long non-coding RNA (EGUI_LNC025642)". Lineage: Eukaryota; Viridiplantae; Streptophyta; Magnoliopsida; Arecales; Arecaceae. The record is from RNAcentral.